AUUAAUGUCCGUGCUAUACAGCA
This 23-nucleotide non-coding RNA is filed under the name Arabidopsis thaliana (thale cress). Lineage: Eukaryota; Viridiplantae; Streptophyta; Magnoliopsida; Brassicales; Brassicaceae. The record is from RNAcentral.